Plectropomus leopardus (leopard coralgrouper) is the source of this 275-nucleotide long non-coding RNA. RefSeq lists it as uncharacterized. NCBI's taxonomy places the organism in Eukaryota, Metazoa, Chordata, Actinopteri, Perciformes, Serranidae. The record is from RefSeq and is a predicted model, not a curated record.
UCUCUGUUGGAUCCUUGAAUUGCUGUUUCCGUGAAAUAAGAAGUGAUCUUUUGAAUUCAUGUUAACUGCUGUCUGCUGCAUUGGAUCCACCUGCUCUGGAUUACACGACGUCUACGAUCCAAGGCUGUUCAAAAGAGGCUGAGACACGCUCCUUGACCCCAUGGGAGCCUUGGGUAUGCCAUAUACACAUUUUACCCCAAGCUGCGACGUUGGAGGGUUACACCAGACUGCGUUGGAAAUAAAGCAUCUCACUCAAAUAUGGUCACUUCUGGCUC